This 448-nucleotide ribosomal RNA is filed under the name uncultured bacterium. Its description in RNAcentral is "bacterial SSU rRNA". It matches the Rfam family "Bacterial small subunit ribosomal RNA", at positions 329 to 793 of the family's 1533-position model. The record is from RNAcentral.
CUCCAGACUCCUACGGGAGGCAGCAGUGGGGAAUAUUGGGCAAUGGGCGCAAGCCUGACCCAGCGACGCCGCGUGAGGGAAGACGGUCUUCGGAUUGUAAACCUCUUUCAGCAGGGAAGACAAAAGGACGGUACCUGCAGAAGAAGCCACGGCUAACUACGUGCCAGCAGCCGCGGUAAUACGUAGGUGGCAAGCGUUAUCCGGAAUUACUGGGUGUAAAGGGUGUGUAGGCGGAAGGUUAAGUCAGCGGUAAAAUGUCGGUGCUAAACACCGGCCUGCCGUUGAAACUGGUCUUCUUGAGUGAGCGAGAAGUAUGCGGAAUGCGUGGUGUAGCGGUGAAAUGCAUAGAUAUCACGCAGAACUCCGAUUGCGAAGGCAGCAUACCGGCGCUCAACUGACGCUGAGGCACGAAAGCGUGGGGAUCGAACAGGAUUAGAUACCCGCGUAA